Anopheles gambiae str. PEST is the source of this 106-nucleotide small nucleolar RNA. It matches the Rfam family "Small nucleolar RNA snR60/Z15/Z230/Z193/J17". From Rfam's summary of the family: The members of this family belong to the C/D class of snoRNAs which contain the C (UGAUGA) and D (CUGA) box motifs. NCBI's taxonomy places the organism in Eukaryota, Metazoa, Arthropoda, Insecta, Diptera, Culicidae. The record is from Rfam.
AGUUUUUACUUGAUGACGCAUAGUUCAGUUGAUCUAACUGUGAUAACACAUGAACAACGCAUUCAAUGCGAUGAAACUGGUCUUUCGCUCCUAUCUGAUAGCAAUU